Molecule: ribosomal RNA, 528 nt
Filed under: uncultured bacterium
Lineage: Bacteria
Description: bacterial SSU rRNA
Rfam family: Bacterial small subunit ribosomal RNA
Source: RNAcentral
AAUAGAUACCCGGGUAGUCCACGCCGUAAACGAUGAGUGCUAAGUGUUAGGAGGGUUUCCGCCCUUUAGUGCUGAAGUUAACGCAUUAAGCACUCCGCCUGGGGGAGUACGGCCGCAAGGCUGAAACUCAAAGGAAUUGACGGGGGCCCGCACAAGCGGUGGAGCAUGUGGUUUAAUUCGAAGCAACGCGAAGAACCUUACCAGGUCUUGACAUCCUCUGACAACCCUAGAGAUAGGGCUUCUCCUUCGGGAGCAGAGUGACAGGUGGUGCAUGGUUGUCGUCAGCUCGUGUCGUGAGAUGUUGGGUUAAGUCCCGCAACGAGCGCAACCCUUGAUCUUAGUUGCCAUCAUUCAGUUGGGCACUCUAAGGUGACUGCCGGUGACAAACCGGGAGGAAGGUGGGGAUGACGUCAAAUCAUCAUGCCCCCUUAUGACCUGGGCUACACACGUGCUACAAUGGACGGUACAAAGAGCUGCAAGACCGCGAGGUGGAGCUAAUCUCAUAAAAACCCGGUUCUCAGUCCGGGA